GACGAACGCUGGCGGCGUGCCUAAUACAUGCAAGUCGAACGCUUCUUUCCUCCCGAGUGCUUGCACUCAAUUGGAAAGAGGAGUGGCGGACGGGUGAGUAACACGUGGGUAACCUACCCAUCAGAGGGGGAUAACACUUGGAAACAGGUGCUAAUACCGCAUAACAGUUUAUGCCGCAUGGCAUAAGAGUGAAAGGCGCUUUCGGGUGUCGCUGAUGGAUGGACCCGCGGUGCAUUAGCUAGUUGGUGAGGUAACGGCUCACCAAGGCCACGAUGCAUAGCCGACCUGAGAGGGUGAUCGGCCACACUGGGACUGAGACACGGCCCAGACUCCUACGGGAGGCAGCAGUAGGGAAUCUUCGGCAAUGGACGAAAGUCUGACCGAGCAACGCCGCGUGAGUGAAGAAGGUUUUCGGAUCGUAAAACUCUGUUGUUAGAGAGGAACAAGGACGUUAGUAACUGAACGUCCCCUGACGGUAUCUAACCAGAAAGACACGGCUAACUACGUG
RNAcentral lists this ribosomal RNA (508 nucleotides) under uncultured bacterium. RNAcentral's name for it is "partial 16S ribosomal RNA". It matches the Rfam family "Bacterial small subunit ribosomal RNA", at positions 28 to 507 of the family's 1533-position model. The record is from RNAcentral.